GAAAAUCAACUUGUUCACCUACCUGCCGGGCUGUUCAAAGCCACAACCAAAUUACAAUCACUGGAUUUGACAAGUAAUCAACUUGUUCACCUUCCUGCCGGGCUGUUCAACGCCACAACCAAAUUACAAUACCUAUAUUUGUGGAAUAAUACACUUGUUGACCUACCUGCCGGGCUGUUUGACGCGACAACCGAAUUGAGAUACCUAGGUUUGGACGAAAAUCAACUUGUUCACCUACCUGCCGGGCUGUUCAAAGCCACAACCAAAUUAAACGAACU
This is a long non-coding RNA of Sycon ciliatum, 278 nucleotides long. RefSeq lists it as uncharacterized. NCBI's taxonomy places the organism in Eukaryota, Metazoa, Porifera, Calcarea, Leucosolenida, Sycettidae. The transcript has 4 exons. The record is from RefSeq and is a predicted model, not a curated record.